This 856-nucleotide ribosomal RNA is filed under the name uncultured bacterium. RNAcentral's name for it is "bacterial SSU rRNA". It matches the Rfam family "Bacterial small subunit ribosomal RNA", at positions 27 to 892 of the family's 1533-position model. The record is from RNAcentral.
GGACGAACGCUGGCGGCGUGCCUAACACAUGCAAGUCGAACGAGAAAGUGGAGCAAUCCAUGAGUAAAGUGGCGUACGGGUGAGUAGCACGUGACUAACCUACCUUCGAGUGGGGGAUAACCUCGGGAAACCGGGGCUAAUACCGCAUAACAUCUUUGGAGUGGAAAUUCUGGAGAUCAAAGGAGCAAUUCGCUUCUGGAGGGGGUCGCGGCCGAUUAGUUAGUUGGCAGGGUAAUGGCCUACCAAGACGAUGAUCGGUAUCCGGCCUGAGAGGGCGCACGGACACACUGGAACUGAAACACGGUCCAGACUCCUACGGGAGGCAGCAGUGGGGAAUUUUGCGCAAUGGGCGAAAGCCUGACGCAGCAACGCCGCGUGAGGGAUGAAGGCCUUCGGGUUGUAAACCUCUUUCAGCAGGGAAGAAGCGAAAGUGACGGUACCUGCAGAAGAAGCACCGGCUAACUACGUGCCAGCAGCCGCGGUAAUACGUAGGGUGCAAGCGUUGUCCGGAAUUAUUGGGCGUAAAGAGCUCGUAGGCGGUCUGUCGCGUCUGCUGUGAAAACCUGGGGCUUAACCCCGGGCCUGCAGUGGGUACGGGCAGACUAGAGUGCGGUAGGGGAGACUGGAAUUCCUGGUGUAGCGGUGGAAUGCGCAGAUAUCAGGAGGAACACCGAUGGCGAAGGCAGGUCUCUGGGCCGCAACUGACGCUGAGGAGCGAAAGCAUGGGGAGCGAACAGGAUUAGAUACCCUGGUAGUCCAUGCCGUAAACGUUGGGCACUAGGUGUGGGGCUCAUUCCACGAGUUCCGUGCCGCAGCAAACGCAUUAAGUGCCCCGCCUGGGGAGUACGGCCGCAAG